CAGCCGUAAACUAUGCUCGCUAGGUGUCAGGCAUGGCGCGACCGUGUCGGGUGCCGCAGGGAAGCCGUGAAGCGAGCCACCUGGGAAGUACGGCCGCAAGGCUGAAACUUAAAGGAAUUGGCGGGGGAGCACAACAACGGGUGGAGCCUGCGGUUUAAUUGGACUCAACGCCGGACAACUCACCGGGAACGACAGCAAUAUGUAGGCCAGGCUGAAGACCUUGCCUGGAUCGCUGAGAGGAGGUGCAUGGCGUAGACGUCU
Molecule: ribosomal RNA, 261 nt
Filed under: uncultured archaeon
Lineage: Archaea
Description: partial 16S ribosomal RNA
Rfam family: Archaeal small subunit ribosomal RNA
Source: RNAcentral